This 2348-nucleotide long non-coding RNA is filed under the name Sus scrofa (pig). RNAcentral describes it as "lncRNA (ENSSSCG00035076383.1)". Lineage: Eukaryota; Metazoa; Chordata; Mammalia; Artiodactyla; Suidae. The record is from RNAcentral.
AUAGCUGGUUUACUGUCUUCUGUCAAUUUUCUACUGUACAGCAAGGUGACCCAGUCAUAUAUAUACAUAUAUAUUCUUUUUUCUCAUAUUAUCAUGCUCCAUCUCAAGUGACUAGAUACAGUUCCCAGUGCUAUACAGCAGGACUCACUGUAUAUCUACUUCAAAGGCAAUAGUUUGCAUCUAUUAACCCCAAAGUUCCAGUCCAUCCCACUCACUCCCCCUCCCACUUGGCAACCACAAGUCUGUUCUCCAUGUCCAUGAUUUUCUUUUCUGUGGAAAGGUUCAUUUGUGCAGUACAGUAGAUUCCAGGUAUAAAUGAUAUCAUAUGGUAUUUGUCUUUUUCUUUCUGACUUACUUCACUUAGUAGAAAAAAGGGAUGUUACUUAUUGAGUCCCCAGACUCAAAUAUAUAUUGAUUUUUUUUUUUUUUUUUGCUUUUUAAGGCUGAACCCACAGCAUGUGGAAGUUCCUGGUUUAGGGCUCAAAUUAGAGCCAUAGCCUCUAGUCUAUGCCACAGCCACAGCAAUGCCAGAUCUGAACAACAUCUGUGAACUACACUCAGCUCUCAGCUAUGCCAGAUCCUCAACCUAUGAAGCGAGGCCAGGGAUUGAACUGGUAUCCUCAGUUCUUAGCCCACUGAGCCACAAAGGGAACUCCUACAGUGAUAAUUUAAAAAAAAAAAAAAAAAAAAGAAAGAAAACUUCAAAGCUAAAAAUUGGAGUUCCUGUCCUGGCUCAGUAGUAACGAACCUAAUAUACAUGAGGAUGCAGAUUUGAUUCCUGGCCUCACUCAGUGGGUUAAGGAUCCGGCAUUGCUGGGAGCUAUGGUAUAGAUCGUAUAUGUGGCUUGGAUCUGGCAUUGCUGUGGCUGUGGUGUAGGCCGGGAGCUACAGCUCAGAUUUGACCCCUACCUGGAAACUUCCAUUUUAUGGUCCUAAAAAGACAAAAAAAAAAAAAAGUUAAAAAAAAGAAAGAAUAAAAAGCUAAAAAUUGCUUAAUAUCAGGCAAUGAAACUAUAAAACAGGCUGAUAAAGCAACUCCUAAAUCUUAAUUUCUAAACUCUUAAUUUUUUCAAGUUUCUUAUGAAAUUCAAACUUUGAAAUCUCCCAGGUAAAGUACCUCACUGAAAAAUAAAUUACUUAAAUUUGUCUACAUUUUUCCUAGCUAUACGAGAAUUGCUGAAAGAUAUGUUGAAAUUUCUUUAGGUAACACAGAAGGUAACUUUUAUUUUUUUAAAGAAAAGCUGGUAAUGGAAUUGAUGUACUGUUUUCCUGGGAUGUUAUAGAAAAUUUCUUCCCCAAAUUCCUGUUGUGGCUCAGUGGUAACAAACCCACCUAGGAUCCAUGAGGAUUCAGGUUUGAUCCCUGGCCUCACUUAGUGGAUUAAGGAUCCAGCAUGGCCUUGACCUGUGGUGUAGGUCACAGACACAGGUCAGAUCUGGCAUUGCUGUGGCUGUCAUGUAGGCCAGCAGCUGCAGCUGACUUGACGCCUAGCCUGGGAACUUCCAUAUGCUGUGGGAGCAGCCCUCAAAAGACCAAAGAAAAAAUUCUUUUCAUUUAACUAUUCCAAGUGUUGGUGGUUAGAAGUUUCAAAUUCUUUCAAAGUCUUGGCUGUAUUUCAGAAAGAGGUCAGUUUCAAAAUACCAGGAAAGGAGAUUAAAUUGUUAAUCAUAUUUUAUCCUGGAGAUUAAAUACCAAAAUUCUCUGUUCUGAAACAUCUACAAUCAAUAUCUAUGAACUAGGUUUAAAAUUACGAUUAUGAACAAUUCACUUGCCAAACUUUAAAACUUAUAAAGACUGGUCCUACUAGGCCAGUUUUACCAGGUAAGUUGUUCCCUUAUUAUAAACUAAGUCCUCCUGUGUUAUCAAAAUUUCAUUUAAGGCAUGGAGGCAGUGAUAAUAUUAGUGGUGAUUUAAAAAAACUCUUUGUUUUCCCAAAGAAAUAUUUAACUCUGAAUUGUGAAUUUUGAAAAUAUCACAAUGGUACUAGAAUGGGAAAACUGAUCCAGGAGUUCAUUAUUCCCUUUAUCAUUAUGUAUACUGGCAACAUGACCACAAGUGAAAUUUUAGUGCUGAAUUUUCCUUACUCAAAACAAAAUCAUUUCUUUCUCUACCAAAAUAUAAAGAAUUGUUUUUUUGUUUCCAUGAGUUAAAUUCUUAGUCACAUCAUGUGAAAAAUAAACAAUAAUUUCUUCAUAAUUACAGAAAAUGUUGGUAAUUACAAUUUACAGUUAAGAGGUUUUAAUAGUGAUUAUUCAUUGAUUGUUCUAACAAAUUUCAAAUUGUAAGUUAUAAAUAUAAAUAUAAAAUUUUAAAUAAAUUUUAUGUUAAUGAUGUUUUCUUUUUUACUG